CAUUUUUAAUCCAGGGACCCCGCCGCGGUGCCAGGGGACUGCGAAAUUUUCCAGUGAGGGCCUGGGCAGAGGCGCCAAUGAGAAGGGAAGGUUGUUAGGGCAGCUGACGUGGGUGACGUCUCUGAGCGGCGCCAGCUGAGCGCGGUGGAACCAAGCCGUCCUUCCUUCUCGGAGGCUGGCUUGUUCCCCCGGCGUCUGUGGACCCCGUUUAGCUGUUCCUGGUGAGCGCAGUACACCGGUACCUCCACUGCCUUGGCCAGUAGCCUGAGGACGCCCUCUUUCAGCUCCUGCUCUUCCUCCUCCACAGACACAGACGACGAGGGAGUGCCCGGCACUUGGGAAGAUGCUUCUCUGUGCAGAGGCCUGGGGAGAGCGUGACUGGGAAUCCGGCCUGAACCAGGCAGACGGGGUCUUGGCCUCCUUGAGGCUAAAGUCUUUAUGGAAGACCGAGGAGAAGCAAGUUCCUGGAGACUAAGCAUAGUGAUUUAAAACAUGGAGUCCAGAGCGAAGCUGAUCGUAGCUCUGCCCCUUAUGAGCUGUGUUCCUAAACCGUUCUGGGUCUCAGUUUCCUGAUGUGAGAAAUGGGGAUGAUAAUAAUCCCACUUCAUAGAUCAUUGUAAAGAUUAAAUGUUACUUA
Long non-coding RNA from Callorhinus ursinus (northern fur seal), 637 nucleotides. RefSeq lists it as uncharacterized. Lineage: Eukaryota; Metazoa; Chordata; Mammalia; Carnivora; Otariidae. The record is from RefSeq and is a predicted model, not a curated record.